GGGGGUAUAGCUCGGUUGGUAGAGUGCUUGCUUGGCAUGCACAAGGCCUUGGGUUCAAUCCCCAAUACCACAC
Molecule: non-coding RNA, 73 nt
Organism: Ictidomys tridecemlineatus (thirteen-lined ground squirrel)
Lineage: Eukaryota; Metazoa; Chordata; Mammalia; Rodentia; Sciuridae
Source: Rfam